Molecule: ribosomal RNA, 503 nt
Filed under: uncultured bacterium
Lineage: Bacteria
Description: partial 16S ribosomal RNA
Rfam family: Bacterial small subunit ribosomal RNA
Source: RNAcentral
AGCGAACGCUGGCGGCGUGUUUAAGACAUGCAAGUCGCACGGGAUAAGACAUGUAGUAAUACUUGUUUUAUUUAGUGGCGCACGGGUGAGUAACACGUGAAUUACAUGCCCUAUAGUGGGGAAUAGCCCAGGGAGACUUGGAUUAAUACCCCAUGGUAUCGAAAGAUUAAAGGUGGCCGCAAGGCUGUCGCUAUAGGAUUGGUUCGCGCCCUAUCAGCUUGUUGGUGAGGUAACGGCUCACCAAGGCAAUGACGGGUACCUGGUCUGAGAGGACGAUCAGGCACACUGGAACUGAGACACGGUCCAGACACCUACGGGUGGCAGCAGUCGAGAAUAAUUCACAAUGGGGGCAACCCUGAUGGUGCAACGCCGCGUGGAGGAUGACGGUCUUCGGAUUGUAAACUCCUGUCAUCUGGGAGAAAGACCUGACGGUAAAUAGCCGGCAGGGUUGAUAGUACCAGAAGAGGAAGGGACGGCUAACUUCGUGCCAGCCGCCGCGGUAA